CAAAUUACAGAAGCCAAAUGCUGCCAUCCGAGACUGUGACAGAGCCAUUGAAAUAAAUCCUGAUUCAGCUCAGCCUCACAAGUGGCGAGGGAAAGCACAUAGUAUGAGCAAAAACGUGAAGAGUGAGAGAUCAAAGCAAGAAUAGAAUGAGUUAAGAAGGCUCGAGAAGAGCAUGAGAGGGAGGAAGAAGCCAGACCGCAGUCAGGAGCUCAGUAUGGCUCUUUUCCAGGUGGCUGGCCAGUGAGGGCUCAGCGAGGACUCAGUGGCAGCUGCAUUGUUGCUUGGUUUCCCCCUCUUCCCAGACCUGCUUCUUCAUUUCCUUUGAGGUGUACCUUCAAGAAGCAUUGCUCUGUAGUGUGACUCUCUGCCUCAAAGUCUGAUUCCAGGGAUCUUGAUCUGGGACAGAUGGUUGUUAGCAUGUUACUUGGCACCAGCAGGUACUCAAGGAAUGUUAGUUUUCUUCUGUUAUGGCCUUAAC
This 478-nucleotide long non-coding RNA is filed under the name Homo sapiens (human). Its description in RNAcentral is "non-protein coding lnc-LPIN1-10:6". Lineage: Eukaryota; Metazoa; Chordata; Mammalia; Primates; Hominidae. The record is from RNAcentral.